This 79-nucleotide transfer RNA is filed under the name Pseudomonas protegens. RNAcentral's name for it is "tRNA-Gln". The stretch from base 3 to 71 matches the Rfam family "tRNA". Rfam says of the family: Transfer RNA (tRNA) molecules are approximately 80 nucleotides in length. Their secondary structure includes four short double-helical elements and three loops (D, anti-codon, and T loops). Further hydrogen bonds mediate the characteristic L-shaped molecular structure. tRNAs have two regions of fundamental functional importance: the anti-codon, which is responsible for specific mRNA codon recognition, and the 3' end, to which the tRNAs corresponding amino acid is attached (by aminoacyl-tRNA synthetases). tRNAs cope with the degeneracy of the genetic code in two manners: having more than one tRNA (with a specific anti-codon) for a particular amino acid; and 'wobble' base-pairing, i.e. permitting non-standard base-pairing at the 3rd anti-codon position. Lineage: Bacteria; Pseudomonadati; Pseudomonadota; Gammaproteobacteria; Pseudomonadales; Pseudomonadaceae. The record is from RNAcentral.
GGGGCGUCGCCAAGCGGUAAGGCAGCAGGUUUUGAUCCUGCCAUGCGUUGGUUCGAAUCCCGCAGAUUCCGUUCCAGCA